This 301-nucleotide ribosomal RNA is filed under the name uncultured bacterium. Its description in RNAcentral is "partial 16S ribosomal RNA". It matches the Rfam family "Bacterial small subunit ribosomal RNA", at positions 509 to 807 of the family's 1533-position model. The record is from RNAcentral.
CAGCAGCCGCGGGAAUACAGAGGUCUCAAGCGUUGUUCGGAUUCAUUGGGCGUAAAGGGUGCGUGGGUGGCUUGGUAAGUUGAAGGUGAAAUCUCGGGGCUUAACUCCGAAACUGCCUUCAAUACUGCUGAGCUCGAGGAUUGUAGAGGAGAAUGGAAUUCACGGUGUAGCAGUGAAAUGCGUAGAUAUCGUGAGGAAGACCAGUGGCGAAGGCGAUUCUCUGGGCAAUUCCUGACACUGAGGCACGAAGGCCAGGGGAGCAAACGGGAUUAGAUACCCCGGUAGUCCCUGUCUCUUAUAC